AAGCACUUAAGGUGCGGAGCCGUAGCGAAAGCGAGUUUUAACUGAGCGUUCAGUUACUUGACGUAGACCCGAAACCGGGCGACCUACCCAUGAGCAGGAUGAAGCGAAAGUAAAAUUUCGUGGAGGUCCGAACCCACGAGCGUUGAAAAGCUCGGGGAUGACUUGUGGGUAGCGGUGAAAUUCCAAUCGAGCCCGGAGAUAGCUGGUUCUCCCCGAAAUAGCUUUAGGGCUAGCCUCAAGGUGAGAGAUACGGAGGUAGAGCACUGAAUGUCCUAGGGGGUAUUGCACCUACCGAAGACUAUCAAACUCCGAAUGCCGUCAUCUUAUACUUGGGAGUCAGACUGUGGGUGAUAAGAUUCAUAGUCGAAAGGGCAACAGCCCAGAUCGUCAGCUAAGGUCCCUAAAUGUAAGUUAAGUGGUAAAGGAUGUGGGAUUGCACAGACAACCAGGAUGUUGGCUUAGAAGCAGCCACUCAUUCAAAGAGUGCGUAAUAGCUCACUGGUCGAGUGAUCCUGCGCCGAAGAUUUCCGGGGCUAAAACUU
This 542-nucleotide ribosomal RNA is filed under the name Clostridioides difficile. RNAcentral's name for it is "partial 23S ribosomal RNA". It matches the Rfam family "Bacterial large subunit ribosomal RNA", at positions 648 to 1189 of the family's 2925-position model. Lineage: Bacteria; Bacillati; Bacillota; Clostridia; Peptostreptococcales; Peptostreptococcaceae. The record is from RNAcentral.